GACGAACGCUGGCGGCGUGCCUAAUACAUGCAAGUCGAGCGGAGUAAAAGCGUGCUUGCACGGUUUUAUUUAGCGGCGAACGGGUGAGUAACACGUAGGUAACCUGGCCAUAAGACAGGGAUAACGCACGGAACGUGAGCUAAACCAGAUAGGCAUUUCCUACGCAUGAGGGAGAUGAGAAAGGACGGAGCAAUACUGCCGCUUAUGGAUGGACCUGCGUCGCAUUAGCUAGUUGGAGUGGUAAAGGCACACCAAGGCGACGAUGCGUAGCCGACCUGAGAGGGUGAGCGGCCACACUGGGACUGAGACACGGCCCAGACUCCUACGGGAGGCAGCAGUAGGGAAUCUUCCGCAAUGGACGAAAGUCUGACGGAGCAACGCCG
RNAcentral lists this ribosomal RNA (383 nucleotides) under uncultured bacterium. RNAcentral describes it as "bacterial SSU rRNA". It matches the Rfam family "Bacterial small subunit ribosomal RNA", at positions 28 to 399 of the family's 1533-position model. The record is from RNAcentral.